This 57-nucleotide transfer RNA is filed under the name Dictyocaulus eckerti (red deer lungworm). Its description in RNAcentral is "tRNA-Ile". The record is from RNAcentral. Lineage: Eukaryota; Metazoa; Nematoda; Chromadorea; Rhabditida; Metastrongylidae.
UUUCGUUAGUAAAAGUGAAUUAUGUUAUUUUGAUAAGGUAAAGUUUAACGGAAUAAA